AGAAACAGGUAUUUUACGUCUUAAAUUUCUACAACUUGCGAGAAGCAUGCUUUCAGGGUAUAUAAAAGCUGAAGAAAACAGUAUGGUCUCAAAACGAAUCGAACUCACUAUAGUAUUGACACUAGACUACCAGCUAAAAGUCAAAAAUCGUAAUCAUGUCUUUUGUACCAGUACUUUGGAACCGCAACAGUCAAAGACAGAAUGAUUCAGAUGACAUGUUCAGCUUCUUGGAUGAGUGGAGCCCCCUUAGUUGGGGGUUUGGUCGCCCCAUGAUGGCCAUGCAGAGAAGACGCAGACCUGAGAAUUCACUUGCAGAUAGAAAAUGGACAUACAGCGUGAAGAUUGGAGACUUCAAUGCAGAACAUGUCAAAGUGAAAGUAGACGACGGUAAGUGUUUAGUCUGAUCAUGGAAGUAUUAUAUUGAUAUAUAUAUACAAUAUAAUACUUCCAUGGUCUGAUUUUUUAACUUUAUAACAGAGGCAAUUUCAGUGGCGGAUCCAGAGGGGGCGUAGAGGGCGUACGCCCCCCUUUUUUGUUUGAACUUUUUUUUUUUAUAUGUCAAAUCAUUAUUCAGACUAGACUUUGCCUCAAUUGCCAAUGGAUAAACCUAUUUUUGUCUACUUGGAUGUGGAUUGUUCUAAAAUUUAGAAUUAACAUUUAAUUUACAAAUGUGUGAACCGAAUCAAAAGUAAUCAUGCAGUAUUAAUUUAAUUGUGCUAUGUUAAGGGCUAUAAGUGGGUAAAGGGGUUCAACUGGAAAGAGGUGCGUGUUUUACGCAGCCCAAUUUUGUCGAUUUCUGUUUUUAAUCGCCCUUUUUCCUUUUUGUUCUCUUUAUAAUUACUAUGUGGAAGAUCGAUGUUCGCAGGCAAGUUGUCUUCUUUUUCAAAACUUUAUUUCUUUAAGCUAUGUAUACAUUAUAUAAAACAGUCCCAGUUUUCUUGUACGAUCGUUUACGUUUAAACAUGUUCAUUGUAAAAUUCUUCCAUGACAACAUUUCACUGUGAAAAUUUGUCCAUGACAAUAUUUUUGCGUGUGAAGUACUGUCCAUGAAGAUAUUUCUUUAUCAAAUUAUUACAAAAAAAGUGCAUGAUGAUUCAUGAUAUAUGUUAUUUACUUCAUAGGCGGACCCAGAGAGGGCUUAGAGGCCGGGGCCCCCCCUUUCAUGAGAAAAAUUUGAUUGAUAGCAUAGAGAAUCACUGAAGCAUGACUGGAGCGCCCCCUUUAAUUUAAGUCAACGGGGCCUCCCUUUAAUACAAAAAGUUCUGGAUCCGCCACUGAACUUCCUCUUCAUGAGAUAAAAUUUCAUGACAAUCUGUCUUAUUACACACAAAAUAUAACCUCCCUUUAACAGAAGAAAAUUACAAAGUAUUUAUCUGUAAUAAUUGUUUAUAUGCAAACAAUGAAAUUCACUCCUUCUCUGGACAUUUUUCAUAGAUGCAAGAUUGUCUUUGGGGAAAUAUUAAAGGACAAACUGUUGCUUUACAAAUAAUCUGCAAUACUGUUGCAGGACUCAAUUGAGUAAUGUUUUGUGUUCGAUCAAUUCCAAGAAGUGAAUAUAUAGCAAAUACAAAUUAUUCCUACGGUAUUUAUGUUCAAACAAUACAGAAUAAACGUAAAAUUAUUGAAAUUAAUAGACAACCAAAAAAGCGUAAUUUGAAAACAGGGGGGAUGGCUUAAUAUCGUCGAGUCGACAUGACAUAAGGCAUAUAUUCAUUAUUCGUAUCGUGGUUAUUAUUAUGAUAUGACAAAUUCAGAUCAGGUUAUUCGUUUACCUAAAAGAGUAAAAAGUACUUUUAUUAUAGGGUUUGAAACUGAUUAUUUGAUUUUUGGGAAACCGAGGUUGGACUAGUAUAGUUCUAUUUAUACACAAUUAUUUCUAGAAUUUUUAAGAAUGUGACAGAUUAAAAAAAACAAUGUUCUGUAGCGCUUAAACUCAAAAGUUUUUUUUCUAUAUUUCAGGUAAAGUAAUUAUUCAUGCUAAGUACACAGACGGUAAUGAUGAAUGGGGAGAUACUGUCGAGCGCACAAGGACAGUCCAGAUUCCAGAAAAUGUUGAUGCCGAAAAAAUUCACAGCUUCAUGAAAUCUGAUGGAACUAUGAUGUUAGAAGCCCCCUACCGCCUGUCAGAGGAGAAGCAACUCCAAGUUGUCCCACAAGAAGGUCGGGCCUUGGUGUCCAGUGACAGCCACAGCAAUUUGAUGACUUUCAGUGUCGACAAUUAUAGGCCAGAAGAGGUAAAAGUUACAUGCAAAGAUGGUAUGUUGACAGCCCAAGGAGAACGACAGAGGUCUGAGGAUGGUCAUGAAAUUCGUGAGUCGUUCUUUCGUCAGAUGACGGUUCCCCGGUCUGUGGAUGGGAAGAACAUCCAAUGCUUUAGAGAUGAUAAAGGGAAUCUUACUAUCCGGGCACCAAUGGCUGAAGAUGUUGAAAUGGAACAAGCCAAAAAGUAGACCUUUUAUGACUUUUAGAUUUAUUUUCAAUUUGUCAUCUUACCAAUUGCUGACUAUACACAUUUGACCAUUUUAUUACUUUAUGAUGAUUUGAUUUAGUGUUCAUUGUUAUUGUUUUUGAAUUACGUUUGGAUGAUUGUGUUAAUUUGCUAGUGAAUUUAUGAUUAAAUGAUGUAUACUUUCAGUUGUAUCAAAAAAGAGGAACAACACUUUAGAUUCUUUUUGUUAACUAGAAACAAGGUUUUGACAAAAGCUUGUUUAACAAUCAUGUGUUAUCUGUAAAUGAACAAUUAUAUCAGUAUUUGUAGUGGAACAAUCAUUGAAUUUUUGUAAUGGAACAAUCAUUGAAUAUGGCAUAAUUUUAGUUCAAUUUAAAAAAGAGAACCUACAUGUUACUUUAUUUACUUUGUUGUUGUCAGAGAUAGACAUUAAAUAUCAUUUAUACAA
RNAcentral lists this long non-coding RNA (2897 nucleotides) under Mytilus galloprovincialis (Mediterranean mussel). The record is from RNAcentral. Lineage: Eukaryota; Metazoa; Mollusca; Bivalvia; Mytilida; Mytilidae.